Molecule: long non-coding RNA, 1294 nt
Filed under: Nicotiana tabacum (common tobacco)
Lineage: Eukaryota; Viridiplantae; Streptophyta; Magnoliopsida; Solanales; Solanaceae
Description: long non-coding RNA (NTAB_LNC008542)
Source: RNAcentral
UUUCACGAAUCCACUAUAUAUACUGGAAAUGGACCUAUGAUUUAAUGCUAAGCUAAUUGAAUCUCAAAAACCAAAUAAAGUGCCGAAGAGUUAGAUUUUAAGUCUGGUUUGGAAUAAUCAACAUGUUUUAAGUUGUACCUUUCAAUAGCAAACAAGGGAAAGGGAUUCAAUUACUUCUAUUUCCCCCAUAACUUGUCAAACGUUCAGAUGUAAUUGAAGCAUAAGACUAGCAACUAUGUCUGUUGAGAUAUUAGUGCUUGACAUAAACCAACUCAACACCCAACAAAUAGAUAAGUUAUCACAACAUCAAUACAACUUGGAAUAUAUUGAAAACAGUCUAAUCAAGAUAGAUUUAGCACAUGAAACAAUACCUGCUACACAUGAUUUUACUUUUAGAAAAAUAGAAACACAUACCUAUCUCAAAUGUUCAACAAUCAAACCAACCAAAUGCUGUUAGGCAAAUUUCCCUUUUCCUUUUAGAUGUGAACAAAAGGAGGAAAAAUUUAGAGUUGUAAGAAGGUGUUAUUUAAUUUCUUGUAUAACGAACAGAAAUAAAAUCAACAAAUCCAAACCGUGAACGAACAGAAAAACAUCAAAGAACAAUUCCUCCAUAUAUACAUAAACAAAUUUUAUCAAAUUUAUAGCACAUGGAUGUCCGAACAAUCAUUACACUUCGAGAUUAAGAUAAAUACCUCUAAACAGCAGUAGAGAUAAACCUGAAUAACCAAAUAAAGGCGAAGGGAAAGCUGGAGCUCAGCGAAAGUAGAAACAACAAACGCAUCUUCAACUUCUAAAAUCAAAAUCAAAACUCGAAAACCCAUAAUUGGAGAGAUGAAGCAGCGAAAAUCAGCAAAGUCUUCGAAACUCCCUGUUCCCCCGAUUUUCUUCUAGUUUUGAAACCUCUUCUGUCAUUUCAGCUUCAAAAUCUUUCAGAACUUCCAAUUUAUUCUUGUUUUUUUUUUGUUGCUAAAUGCUUUUUUUUGGUUUCUAAAUGCUUUUGUGUGCGUGUGUGUAAGGUGGUGAGAGACGAGUGUGAGGGGAGAUGGGGGAAUGGUCUGCCGAUGGGUUUUUCUUUUUGAGAGGAGAUUCCGAUUUUCUUUUCUUGGUCUGUCUCUGUUCUUUUGUUUGAGAUAUGUUGUAUAUGUGUAUUGGUAGGUGAAGAAGAAAAUGAGAGGGGGUUGCACUGUUGAUGGUUAGGGAAAAUAGGGUCUGAUGUUGUGUGAGAUUUGAGGAAGGGUUGUAGGGUUUAUAAUUUUGGGGAGGGAUCCGUUCUCGGAGUGUAUGAGAGAUGACG